ACCUUCUUGUAUAAGUACUGCUAAGACUGCAGAAACCAAGGAUCACAUCUUGGUUUUUGUAAUAAUGCUAGCAGAGUACACACAGGAAAAGUAACUGCACUAGAUGGUAAAGACGGGGAUGGACCACCUCUUUCUUAAUAUCCAGUGUCUUUUGUCUUAAGAUUUGGUGUGAUAUGU
Small nucleolar RNA from Balaenoptera musculus (blue whale), 177 nucleotides. The record is from Ensembl. Lineage: Eukaryota; Metazoa; Chordata; Mammalia; Artiodactyla; Balaenopteridae.